This 17-nucleotide transfer RNA is filed under the name Pleuropterus multiflorus (tuber fleeceflower). Its description in RNAcentral is "Fallopia multiflora partial tRNA-His". The record is from RNAcentral. Lineage: Eukaryota; Viridiplantae; Streptophyta; Magnoliopsida; Caryophyllales; Polygonaceae.
CGGAUGUAGCCAAGUGG